This 435-nucleotide ribosomal RNA is filed under the name uncultured bacterium. RNAcentral's name for it is "partial 16S ribosomal RNA". It matches the Rfam family "Bacterial small subunit ribosomal RNA", at positions 28 to 507 of the family's 1533-position model. The record is from RNAcentral.
GAUGAACGCUGGCGGUAUGCUUAACACAUGCAAGUCGAACGGACUCUUCGGAGUUAGUGGCGGACGGGUGAGUAACGCGUGAGAAUCUGGCUUUGGGUUCGGGACAAUCACUGGAAACGGUGGCUAAUACCGGAUGUGCCGAGAGGUAAAAGAGAAAUUGCCUGAAGAUGAGCUCGCGUCUGAUUAGCUAGUUGGUGAGGUAAAGGCUCACCAAGGCAGCGAUCAGUAGCUGGUCUGAGAGGAUGACCAGCCACACUGGGACUGAGACACGGCCCAGACUCCUACGGGAGGCAGCAGUGGGGAAUUUUCCGCAAUGGGCGAAAGCCUGACGGAGCAAUACCGCGUGAGGGAAGAAGGCUCUUGGGUUGUAAACCUCUUUUCUUAGGGAAGAACAAAAUGACGGUACCUAAGGAAUCAGCAUCGGCUAACUCCGUG